AAUCGACUAAUCUUGGUUCAAUAAAUGAAAAGGAAGGUUGGUUCUUUUAGUUCAUCUCAAAUCAGCACAUGCUCGGGUAAAAGUUAAGAAGGUUGAUUUGGAUGGGCUUGUAGUCAUUGUUGGAGUGAACUCGAAUACGUAUGGUUGCAUACAUGCUGGUAGAGAACUUCAGAAGUUUCAACAGCAAGUACAAAGUGUGCAUUGGUGUUGAUAAGUAAAUACGAGUACAACAUAUUCAUAUGUGAUUUCGCAAGGUUCGAUUAAUGCACCAAUGUUUUCAUGGAAAGGUUCAUCAAUGGUGCAAUCCAAAUACCUUCUUUCUUUUAUAUAUAUAUAUAUAGGGUAAUAAUCAAAUACAAAUCAUUUUAUAAU
Molecule: long non-coding RNA, 372 nt
Organism: Erigeron canadensis
Lineage: Eukaryota; Viridiplantae; Streptophyta; Magnoliopsida; Asterales; Asteraceae
Exons: 4
Source: RefSeq, a predicted model, not a curated record